Molecule: non-coding RNA, 98 nt
Filed under: Shinella sp. WSC3-e
Lineage: Bacteria; Pseudomonadati; Pseudomonadota; Alphaproteobacteria; Hyphomicrobiales; Rhizobiaceae
Source: RNAcentral
GAGAGCCGGUGGCUUGGAAAACUUGCACGUCCGGUUCGGCGAGAGGGGCGCAGAAACCACCUGCCGCGAGGCAGGCAGGCGCUGUGCUCCUACUCUAC